UUUACCCUGGAGUGUUUGUCAGAGGAUGUACGUCCCUGAGCCGAUAAGCAACACAUAAGGGUUGGUACUUGGUCACUAUUGAGCAGGCUCGGCUUGUACCGAGAAGCCUACGGUAGCCAUUGCUAAUCCGCCUUGAACCAGCUGGUUCAAGGGCCACAGUCCUCAACGGCACUCUGGGGUUCCU
This is a non-coding RNA of Vibrio metschnikovii CIP 69.14, 184 nucleotides long. The record is from Rfam. Lineage: Bacteria; Pseudomonadati; Pseudomonadota; Gammaproteobacteria; Vibrionales; Vibrionaceae.